Molecule: small nucleolar RNA, 124 nt
Filed under: Chinchilla lanigera (long-tailed chinchilla)
Lineage: Eukaryota; Metazoa; Chordata; Mammalia; Rodentia; Chinchillidae
Description: Small nucleolar RNA SNORA33 (ENSCLAG00000018638.1)
Source: RNAcentral
UAUCCUGCAUGAGCAUAAAAUAAUACUUAGGAAAUUUAGAAAAAGCUGGCAAUAGUAAUGCCAUGUUAGGAGCCUUAAGGACGUGACAUCAAAAUCAUUGAGGCCCCUAAAAAAGGCUACACAU